AAGUGACCCACAACAAUCCAGUCCAAGAUGUUCAAAGGGAAAAGCUUUUCCAAGUAAACAGUUAAAAGGAAAACUCCCAAAGGCAGAGGAAAGAAGGCAGUGCCUGGGCUGACGCUGCUCAGAAAAUCAAAUGCAUAAGUGGGAAAGCCCACACCUUUUCCACCCUGCAGCCCGGGCACAGUGGAGAUGAGGAUGCACAAGAGAUGGCAUGAACUGGAGGGAUGUUACAACGCCCUCAAAUAAAUCACCAGCACAAUGAA
Molecule: long non-coding RNA, 260 nt
Organism: Pipra filicauda (Wire-tailed manakin)
Lineage: Eukaryota; Metazoa; Chordata; Aves; Passeriformes; Pipridae
Exons: 2
Source: RefSeq, a predicted model, not a curated record